Molecule: transfer RNA, 92 nt
Filed under: Actinoplanes octamycinicus
Lineage: Bacteria; Bacillati; Actinomycetota; Actinomycetes; Micromonosporales; Micromonosporaceae
Description: tRNA-Val
Source: RNAcentral
CGGGUCCGGCCGCCGGCUUCGGCGAGCGUGACCACGCCGUGCACCGGCUGGUCGUCGGCGAUCGGCUCGCCGUGCUUGUCGGCGAACCCGUC